GUAGGUGAACCUGCGGAAGGAUCAUUAAAAAUGAAGCCGGGAAACCGGUCCUUCUAACCCUUGAUUAUCUCAAUUUGUUGCUUUGGUGGGCCGCGCAAGCACCGGCUUUGGCUGGAUCGUGCCCGCCAGAGGACCACAACUCUGUAUUAAAUGUCGUCUGAGUAAAAAGUUUAAUAUUUAAAACUUUCAACAACGGAUCUCUUGGCUCUG
RNAcentral lists this unclassified non-coding RNA (210 nucleotides) under rhizosphere metagenome. RNAcentral's name for it is "partial ribosomal RNA internal transcribed spacer region". The record is from RNAcentral.